Molecule: ribosomal RNA, 253 nt
Filed under: uncultured bacterium
Lineage: Bacteria
Description: partial 16S ribosomal RNA
Rfam family: Bacterial small subunit ribosomal RNA
Source: RNAcentral
UACGUAGGGUGCAAGCGUUGUCCGGAAUUAUUGGGCGUAAAGAGCUCGUAGGCGGUCUGUCGCGUCGGCUGUGAAAACUCGGGGCUCAACUCCGAGCUUGCAGUCGAUACGGGCAGGCUAGAGUUCGGCAGGGGAGACUGGAAUUCCUGGUGUAGCGGUGAAAUGCGCAGAUAUCAGGAGGAACACCGGUGGCGAAGGCGGGUCUCUGGGCCAUUACUGACGCUGAGGAGCGAAAGCGUGGGGAGCGAACAGG